This 1026-nucleotide long non-coding RNA is filed under the name Lathyrus oleraceus (garden pea). Its description in RNAcentral is "Pisum sativum (pea) long non-coding RNA (PSAT_LNC035166)". Lineage: Eukaryota; Viridiplantae; Streptophyta; Magnoliopsida; Fabales; Fabaceae. The record is from RNAcentral.
UGGAAAGGUUGUGAGCUUAGCCUAUAAUACUGAACUUUAAAACUGAAAAGAAAAUUUAGUUUUUCAUGAAAUAUAAAUUUCAACCUAUUAAUUAUGGUUUAAUUAUUUUCAUUUUUAGGUUCUUGAACUACGUUGUCUUUUAUAUAUAAUAAGUUGUUUAAGUCAUAUCAAUAUGUAUCCAUAAUUUUAUUUACGAUUCUCUUUUUCGAUUGUUUUUCUCACUAUUUUGUAAUUCCAUGUGAAUUUAGGUGAUUACGUAAUACUUUUAUGCAUGAUUAUUUUUGGUAAACUUUGAAAUAUUUAAAAUAUUCAGGCGGAAUGUACUUGCAAAAAAUUUAAAGUAUCUACAUUGCAUUUUUAUUAUAUAGUUUAGUUUUUAAAUAUUUGUCAACCUUAUGUUUUUUUUGUAAUUAUUCUAAAAUAGAUAAAUUUGCUAUUGCAAUUUCUUUGUUAUCAUAACGAGCGUCAUAAGACAUAUUAAAAAUCUUUUUUAUUUAUUGGUUAGUAAUAGAGUUCACAUUUUUACAUGAACGCAGUAUAAUAGAAAUAAUUUAAAAUAUUUUUAACAUGAUAUUUCAAAGGUGAACAUUAAAAAAAAUAUCAACAAAAGGAAAAACACUUUCACAACCUAGUUUCAAAACUAAUAAAAAUUUAUAAUCAAUAUGAUUAUUAUCACCUUCAUUACUAUAUGUUCAUAAAAUUUAUUGUUAUUCACUAUUAUCUUUAUGAGACAAUAUUUUAACUUUUGGGGUGGAUAGAAGACAAUAAUUUCAAUGAAAUUUCAAUCAUCUCUUGUUUGUUCUAUAGCUGUCUUGUCAGCAUAUUCUCUUGUUUUAGUGUUUAAAACAUAUAUUUAAUGUUAAAAAAUGGUAUAAAAUAUGUAAGUCGCUCUACCAAUGUUGAUUUGGCAUACUAAACAUAGUCACAUUGAGAAGGCUACUAUGUUAAACAAAUACGUUAAGUAGCUAAGUAAUAUGUAUAUGUAUAUGUCAUUUUAUUUCAAAGACAUGCAUUUGGAGUGUUUCA